Molecule: ribosomal RNA, 396 nt
Filed under: uncultured bacterium
Lineage: Bacteria
Description: partial 16S ribosomal RNA
Rfam family: Bacterial small subunit ribosomal RNA
Source: RNAcentral
AUACGUAGGUGGCGAGCGUUAUCCGGAUUUACUGGGUGUAAAGGGCGCGUAGGCGGGGAAGCAAGUCAGCUGAGAAAUCUAUGGGCACAACUCAUGAACUGCAUUUGAAACUGUUUCUCUUGAGUGCCGGAGAGGUAGACGGAACUCCUCGUGUGGCGGAGAAAUGCGUAGAUAUUAGGAGGAACACCAGUGGCGAAGGCGGUCUACUGGACGGUAACUGACGCUGAGGCGCGAAAGCGUGGGGAGCAAACAGGAUUAGAUACCCUGGUAGUCCACGCUGUAAACGAUGAAUACUAGGUGUGGGGGGACUGACCCCCUCCGUGCCGCAGUUAACACAAUAAGUAUUCCACCUGGGGAGUACGGCCGCAAGGCUGAAACUCAAAUGAAUCGACGGGG